This 527-nucleotide ribosomal RNA is filed under the name uncultured bacterium. RNAcentral describes it as "bacterial SSU rRNA". It matches the Rfam family "Bacterial small subunit ribosomal RNA", at positions 777 to 1304 of the family's 1533-position model. The record is from RNAcentral.
AAUAGAUACCCGGGUAGUCCAUGCCGUAAACGGUGGGCGCUAGGUGUGAGUCCCUUCCACGGGGUUCGUGCCGUAGCUAACGCAUUAAGCGCCCCGCCUGGGGAGUACGGCCGCAAGGCUAAAACUCAAAGGAAUUGACGGGGGCCCGCACAAGCGGCGGAGCAUGUGGAUUAAUUCGAUGCAACGCGAAGAACCUUACCUGGGCUUGACAUACACUGGAUCGGGCUAGAGAUAGUCUUUCCCUUUGUGGCUGGUGUACAGGUGGUGCAUGGUUGUCGUCAGCUCGUGUCGUGAGAUGUUGGGUUAAGUCCCGCAACGAGCGCAACCCUUGUCUUAUGUUGCCAGCAUUUGGUUGGGGACUCAUGAGAGACUGCCGGGGUGAACUCGGAGGAAGGUGGGGAUGACGUCAAAUCAUCAUGCCCCUUAUGUCCAGGGCUUCACACAUGCUACAAUGGUCGGUACAACGCGUGUGCGAUCCUGUGAGGGUGUGCUAAUCGCUGAAAGCCGGUCGUAGUUCGGAUUGGGGU